RNAcentral lists this long non-coding RNA (3944 nucleotides) under Lynx pardinus (Iberian lynx). The record is from RNAcentral. Lineage: Eukaryota; Metazoa; Chordata; Mammalia; Carnivora; Felidae.
AUUUGUAGUUACGUCACUGGACGCUGGUGCUCGCUUGUCUCUUCAAAGCAGCUCUAUCCAGGUACUUGCAGCAGGUGGGGAUGGAAUAGACCUCGAGGACAAGCUCGGAGACCACUGGACAGAAAGAGUGAGGGGUCUCUGUCACUGUGGAGCAGAGACCAGGAACCUCACCUGUGGUCUCAGUUUCCUCAGUGGUCAAGUGAGGGAUUUCCGUUCUGUGACUGAUGGUUUGGGCUAUCAUCCAGGCAACUGAAGUAAGAGUGCAAACUUCACUCCGCACUUCUGGCUCUGGGCACUGAUCACUGCCCCAUAAGUAACGUCCAGAAUGUCUCCAGUUAGAGGAAUGGGGAGUUUUUCUUUGUGAAGGGAGAUGUAAGGAGUGUGUGCCUGUUAGAAUCCGUCUCAAGCGGACCUUGACUGCGGUGGUCAUGCAAACCUGCCCAAAAUGAUGACAUUGCACACAGCUAAAUGGACACAGGAGUGCACCAACGCUGAGGAGAUCUAACCAAGCUUGGCAGAUUGUAUCAAUGUUAAUGUUCUGACUGAGGUGCAGGUUGCAAACGAUGUCCCUGUACUGUUUUUUACAACUAAAUGUGAAUCUGUAAUUAUCUUCAGCUAAGACGUUUGAUUUAAAAAGUGGCUGGAUCGGGACACCAAAAGACAAAGGGCCAUAUAAACGCACGUAGAGUUUUUGGAAGUUCCCUAGUCUCAAAACGCACCGCCCUGCCCUGUGAUAUAUUAACUUAAAUCUCAGUUAACUAGGGCUGAAAUUCAGGCCACUAGAUUCACUAAGCAGAGACCAAGAUUUCAUUGUCCCGUAAGUCACAGCCAAAGUCAUCUUUAACGUUUUAUGUUGAUCAUGUAAUCAGAUGACCUAUCCACCGCUUGAACGGGUUAUACUGUUCAUUCUCAAACUUAGGUGGAGGUCGACGUUUAUCCUUAGUAAAUUUAAUUUUACUGAGUUUUUUCUUAAUCUUCACAUUAGGCAUUCCUCCUAGCUUAGCAUUAUUUGAAUAGGUCUAAGACUGCUGUAUCUAUAGACAUUAAUAAAUACAGCAGAAGGGACUGGAUCAAGUCUGUGUGGCCUGCUUUGAGAUAGAUGCCCUCUUCCCAGACUCUCAUAAAUCCUUUCGUUGGCGGUCUUGGGUUUAUAUAGGUGGGCAAAUCUACCAUCACACCUAGACUUCUGUAUCAUGUCCGUUGUAUCGUUAUAAGACAGUAUAAUGUAUCUUGGAAACCAUCAGUGUCUUGUGACUGAAAGCCAUUGCCCCAAUUUAUUAGCCUCGCACCCUUUUUGGAAGAGUUUAGUAUGACACUGAACCAGUGUGGACUUACAAUGGUAAUGGUUUUCUUUUCUAAGAACUCAUAACUCAGCCAGAUUUUCUAAGGACAGAAUAUAUUUGUUAGCAUCUAGCUUUUCUGUUAGAAAGCUAGGGACAAAUAGGCUUUAUGAGCCUAUGUUCUUCUGGACCUGUAGACAUGACCCUGUGACCCAUCAACAUCUAAGCAUUCAAUAGCCCUGGGUAUAUGCCACUUUUUCAAACCUGAGGCUUCCUUUAAUAGAGAAGAGACAGGUGAAACUUGAGGUUGUUCUUUUGGUGUCUGGCCGGCUCAGUCCAUACAGCAUGUGACUCUUAAAUCUCGGGGUUGUGAGUUCCAGCCCCGUGUUGGGUGUGGAGAUUACUGACAAAUAAAAGUUCUUUUACUUUAUUGACAGUGAAUGAAUCAAUCAAUGAAUAGAAGACCAGUUGAGCCAACUUUUCAGAGAUUUCAUCAAUAGCUAAUCCUUUUUAUGAAAUAGAGUUCAAAUUAUUUUAGGGUUUUUUGGUUCUAAAAAGACACGAGGAUUUGUAAUUAUAAAAUGUAGUGGAGGAUAGAGUACCAAAACUUUACCUUUCAAAGUAGUAGGUUAGUACCGUCAAGCUUUGCAGAACACCUGUGGCAAUUUUUAGAGGGCAGUAUUAGCCAUUUUCUACUUAACCCACUGUGUACCUGAGUUAGGGUCCCUAUGAAUUCAGAUGGUGGAGAGUCAGUCCAGGUAAGAGAGCAGCCACAGGAAAAGAGUGACGCGGUGACUUUGCCCCUCACCACCAUUUGUCAUCUUCUCGAUUUCUACCAGCUAUUAUUACAAACAUUGGAAUUUAACUUAGUUGUAGAUCUUGGCCCAGAGACAAAAGCUGAAUGCUGCGUCUGCAUAACUGCACCCCUACUUCUCCCCCUCUCACCUCAGAAGGAUUUUACCCUGGGUCUUGUUAGUUGGAGCAUCUACAGAUCUCUAGAGGAGAGAUUUCCUCUUCUGUGGGGGGGUCUCUACCUGUGCCUGGCAUCAUUAUCCCAUUCAUGUAAUCCACAUUGGGAGUUGGCUUCUAGCACCCAGCACCUUUGGUUGAGGAAGCAAGCAGCCACAGCAACUAAGACAUAGUAGCCACGAUCCACAGGGAACCUGCUUUGUACCAAGCACAUUACAUAGAUGGACUCAAGUCCAAAGUUUCUGGGAGCAUGCAUCACCCCAAUUUACAGAGGAAGAAACUUGAUUCCCAGAGGGGCUUAAUAACUCUGCUUGAGGUUGCUGAGCCCCGUCCCAAGGGGGACUCACACACUCAGGCUCUUCUAUGCACAGGGACCAGUGCUGGGUUGGGUAUUGGACGGCAGUUUGCACUGAGCUAGGGAGCUGGCUCUUCUCUGUAAGACCUUUAGACACUGAGCCACCUUUUGAGGUUCCCUUGAUCUCCAAACAAGAAAAAGGCUGAAGCAUCCUAUGUGCAAACUUUGCCUAAUAAAACUGGGUACUAAUUUAUAUUUGCUUGAGUUCCAAUCCUGUUACCUUGGAGACGUGUUCUUUAAUUUUGUUUAUUUGUUCAUUUUUGAGAGACAGAGACCGAGCGCUACUGGGGGAGGGGCAGAGAGAGAGGGAGACACAGAAUCUGAAGCAGGCUCCAGGCUCCAAGCUAUCAGCACAGAGCCCGACGCAGGGCUCAAACCCAUGAACUGUGAGAUCAUGACCUGAGCCCAAGUCAGACACUUAAUCCACUGAGCCACCCAGGCACCCUUGAGAUAUGUCCUUUCAAAUGUUAUGUGUAAAUGGUUACAUUUCUGGCUGGUGGUUAAAUACACACACACAGACACACACACACUUUUAUCAGUGAAUGAAUUAAUGAAUAAAAGGCAAAUUGAACCAAAUGUUAGAGAUUUAAUUAAUAGCUAAUCUUUAAGAAAUAUGUACAGUGAAACCUUGCAUUGUAAAUAACUUGCUCUACAAGUGUUCCACAAGACGAGCAACUGUUUCUAAUAAGUUUUAACUUGACAAACAAGCAAUGUCUUAUGAGUAGUACAUGACUCCAAAUAUCACACAAUCACAACUGAAUCAAUGGUUCUCUCUCUCUCUCUCUCUCUUUCUUUUUCUCUCUGCAGGAUUGAAGGUGAUUGUCUCCCAUGCUCAGAUGCUCAGUCUCAGGCCACGGUGUUUGGCAGAAAUCAGUGAUUUUUCAGAACGUUGGAAGGUGCCCAAAACUGGCAUUGGUGUAUUCUUUGUCACUUCAAGCACCUAAGUCCUUUGCUUUUCCAUACAAAAAUGAGCUUAGGAAUCCUUUACUUCUUUGUAGGUCAGGCUGUCUGCAGAUAGAGACCCUUUCCUCUGCUGCCUUAUUGCCAGUUACAUUAAAUACAGUACAUGACAAGAGUUUAUUAGUAUUGUACUGUAGCCAAUGUCUGUUACUAAUGGUGAAAGUCUCCCAGUAACCCUCCUCUCUCUUGUCUCCUUCACAUGGCCAUGAAGGUUUUCAAAAGUAAUUUGUUUUUCUUUAUAUUUUGUAUUUUCUUUAUUAUUUUGUAUUAUAUUACAGUAUUGUAAUCAUUUUUGUAUGAAUAUUUUUGGGCUGUGGAACGAAUCAUCUGAGCUUCCAUUAUUGCUUAUGGGAAAACUCGCUUUGAUAUACAGGUGCUUU